Oryctolagus cuniculus (rabbit) is the source of this 756-nucleotide long non-coding RNA. RefSeq lists it as uncharacterized. The record is from RefSeq and is a predicted model, not a curated record. Lineage: Eukaryota; Metazoa; Chordata; Mammalia; Lagomorpha; Leporidae.
CCGGGACGUGAGCGCGGGGCUGCGGGCCCAGCGGGAGCCGAGUCUCCUCAGACGUGCGCAGCUGCUGCUGGCGGGACGGAGCUCCUCAGCCGUGCGCCGUCGGCUUGGGGCCGGCUGGCCGGUCGGGGCACCCCUGGAAAUGGAAUGAAACAUUGCCCAAUUCUGGAACUGCAAAUAAAACUGAGAAAAUGUUUUCCUAAACAAUUAUCAAAGAGGCUGACUGAAAGUAUACUCUUAGACUAUUGGAAUUACCCUUGUAUCUGAAGGGAGAAUGGAAGGUGCUGUUUAAGUGGGAACCUGAUUUGCAUGGUCUCGUUUGAACUUCUAGAUGAGAAGAGACACUGCAUCAUAGCAGCUGUGGAGAUGGCCACCCUGGAAAGCGCUGGGUUGAGACCCUGGACUGCCCUCUUCCUAGUGCUCUGACCCCAGGGUCCACUUCAAGGCAGUAAGGAUGGAUGGAGCAGCAAAGAAAUUCUGAGAAUUCUGGAAAGUUCUCUGGUCUAGCACCUGCUGGGGAAGAACCUCAGGGAGCCCAGUCAUGUCCCAGCAGGGGAAAUGGCCAGGCAAGGCCGCUCUGCAGACGUCACCUGCCCUGGACUCUGCUCCCCACCCCGUCCAAAGCCCCAGGCUGGAUGCUGUGAGCCAUGUGCAUGUCUGGGUCACACUGGGUAAUGGACAGACAUCAAGCACGAACGGGAAGAGGAGGGAGAUUUGGAAGGGGAGCGGCCAGUCCCAAGUACCUGCCAUAGGAACUGC